CCCUUGCGCCUCAGUUGGUAGAGCACGGCGCUUGCAACGCCGGGUUUGCGGGUUAAAUUCCCACGUGAGGGA
RNAcentral lists this transfer RNA (72 nucleotides) under Salmo salar (Atlantic salmon). It matches the Rfam family "tRNA". From Rfam's summary of the family: Transfer RNA (tRNA) molecules are approximately 80 nucleotides in length. The record is from Rfam by way of RNAcentral. Lineage: Eukaryota; Metazoa; Chordata; Actinopteri; Salmoniformes; Salmonidae.